RNAcentral lists this ribosomal RNA (454 nucleotides) under uncultured Verrucomicrobiaceae bacterium. Its description in RNAcentral is "bacterial SSU rRNA". It matches the Rfam family "Bacterial small subunit ribosomal RNA", at positions 336 to 796 of the family's 1533-position model. Lineage: Bacteria; Pseudomonadati; Verrucomicrobiota; Verrucomicrobiia; Verrucomicrobiales; Verrucomicrobiaceae. The record is from RNAcentral.
UUCCUACGGGUGGCAGCAGUCGAGAAUCUUUCACAAUGGGGGAAACCCUGAUGGAGCGACGCCGCGUGGAGGUUAAGGUCUUCGGAUUGUAAACUCCUGUCAUGCGAGAACAAAGCCCGCAAGGGUGUGAUAGUACCGCAAGAGGAAGAGACGGCUAACUCUGUGCCAGCAGCCGCGGUAAUACAGAGGUCUCAAGCGUUGUUCGGAAUUACUGGGCGUAAAGGGUGCGCAGGCCGCGCGGGCAGUCAAAUGUGUAAUUCAGAGGCUCAACCUCUGGACUGCGCUUGAUACUUCCGCGCUCGAACCUUGGAGAGGGAUCUGGAAUUCUCGGUGUAGCAGUGAAAUGCGUGGAUAUCGAGAAGAACACCUAGGGCGAAAGCAAGAUCCUGGACAAGUGUUGACGCUCAUGCACGAAGGCUAGGGGAGCGAACGGGAUUAGAUACCCGGGUAGUCU